UACGUAGGGUGCAAGCGUUGUCCGGAAUUAUGUGGCGUAAAGGGCUCGUAGGCGGUCCAUCACGUCGGGAGUGAAAAGCUGGGGCUUAACCCCAGUCCUGCUUCCGAUACGGGUGGACUAGAGGUAGGCAGGGGAGAACGGAAUUCCUGGUGUAGCGGUGAAAUGCGCAGAUAUCAGGAGGAACACCGGUGGCGAAGGCGGUUCUCUGGGCCGAUACUGACGCUGAGGAGCGAAAGCGUGGGGAGCGAACAGG
RNAcentral lists this ribosomal RNA (253 nucleotides) under uncultured bacterium. RNAcentral describes it as "partial 16S ribosomal RNA". It matches the Rfam family "Bacterial small subunit ribosomal RNA", at positions 524 to 776 of the family's 1533-position model. The record is from RNAcentral.